GCCCUGUUCUGCCAGGCGCUGAAGAGACCCCAAGUGAGAUCAGACCCCACUGUUGUGCCAGGCUGCAGAAUGACAUCCAAGUUUCAGUCAAGCUCAUCCCAUCCUCCCAUGGGACAUAGGAGAGAGAUGGCUGCAAAGGAGUCAGUCCAGGGGCCGGUGACCUUCGAGGAGGUGGCUGUGUAUUUCACCAGGGGAGAGGGGGCUCUGC
This is a long non-coding RNA of Mauremys mutica (yellowpond turtle), 208 nucleotides long. RefSeq lists it as uncharacterized. The transcript is spliced from 3 exons. The record is from RefSeq and is a predicted model, not a curated record. NCBI's taxonomy places the organism in Eukaryota, Metazoa, Chordata, Testudines, Geoemydidae.